Long non-coding RNA from Etheostoma spectabile (orangethroat darter), 120 nucleotides. RefSeq lists it as uncharacterized. NCBI's taxonomy places the organism in Eukaryota, Metazoa, Chordata, Actinopteri, Perciformes, Percidae. The record is from RefSeq and is a predicted model, not a curated record. The transcript has 3 exons.
AGAGCAAGCAACAUUGCGACACUGGUGAGGAAAAACUCCCUUUUAGGAAGAAACCUUGGACAGACCCAUUCUCUUGGUAGGCCGUGUCUGACGGCUGAUUGGGGGUGUGAUGAACAAUGG